Molecule: ribosomal RNA, 252 nt
Filed under: uncultured bacterium
Lineage: Bacteria
Description: partial 16S ribosomal RNA
Rfam family: Bacterial small subunit ribosomal RNA
Source: RNAcentral
UACGUAGGGGGCGAGCGUUAUCCGAAUUUAUUGGGCGUAAAGCGUGUGUAGGCGGUUUAUUAAGUCUAAGAUUAAAGCCUGGGGCUUAACCCCAGUUCGUUUUAGAAACUGGUAGACUUGAGUGUGGUAGAGGCAAGUGGAAUUUCUAGUGUAGCGGUUAAAUGCGUAGAUAUUAGAAGGAACACCAGUGGCGAAGGCGGCUUGCUGGGCCAUUACUGACGCUGAGACACGAAAGCGUGGGGAGCAAAUAGG